Molecule: non-coding RNA, 662 nt
Organism: Pogona vitticeps (central bearded dragon)
Lineage: Eukaryota; Metazoa; Chordata; Lepidosauria; Squamata; Agamidae
Source: RefSeq, a predicted model, not a curated record
GGAUGUACGCUGGAUAUGUCCAAAGCAGGGUGGAGGGGAGAGAGUGGGGGGGAUAAGAGAUCUCUCUCUCUCUCCUCCUGCUUCCGCAUGUGAAUCAUUUCUCAAGCAGCCGGUUGCUCUCUCUCUCUCUCUCUCUGUGGUUCUGCAAUGUGGUUUUCCUUCUGAAAAGGAGAAGCCCCAUCAGCCUUGCCUUCUCCGCCUGGCUCGCAGAUGCCGCUGGAGGGUGACGGGAAGACGGCGCUCCGGUGGAUGCAGAGCGCAGGGCAGCCCGGCCAAGCGUUCAAAAGGCUGGGUGUUCUUGGCAUCCGGUACAAAAAGCCACAUCAGGAAACCGAGAAGGGCCGUUUAAGAAGUCGUGAGACUUCUGGAAAAAAGAGGGCUGUUGUGAGCCUUGAAGUGGGAGAAGGAAGAUAGCCGAGGUCCAUCUCCUCCCACAGAGCUUAGCGAGGCGAAUUCUUCAAAUGGACAGUUCCCAAAAUCCACCAGUGAGCUGGCUGGUGCGUUUGGGGAGCUGAAGUCCAGAAAAGAAACGUUUCCAAGCAAGUAUGCACAGAAGAAAAAUAAUAAUAAUAAAGGAGGUGGGGCCAUCCAAAGGCCCCUUUCCAUCAGGCUCCUUGGGCUUUUGACCUCCAUGUGUGAGAAAUAUCAUAAUGUUUGCCGUA